UACGGAGGGAGCUAGCGUUAUUCGGAAUUACUGGGCGUAAAGCGCACGUAGGCGGCUAUCCAAGUCAGAGGUGAAAGCCUGGAGCUCAACUCCAGAACUGCCUUUGAAACUAGAUGGCUUGAAUCCAGGAGAGGUGAGUGGAAUUCCGAGUGUAGAGGUGAAAUUCGUAGAUAUUCGGAAGAACACCAGUGGCGAAGGCGGCUCACUGGACUGGUAUUGACGCUGAAGUGCGAAGGCGUGGGGAGCAAACAGG
RNAcentral lists this ribosomal RNA (253 nucleotides) under uncultured bacterium. RNAcentral's name for it is "partial 16S ribosomal RNA". It matches the Rfam family "Bacterial small subunit ribosomal RNA", at positions 524 to 776 of the family's 1533-position model. The record is from RNAcentral.